Molecule: ribosomal RNA, 344 nt
Filed under: uncultured bacterium
Lineage: Bacteria
Description: bacterial SSU rRNA
Rfam family: Bacterial small subunit ribosomal RNA
Source: RNAcentral
GGGCCCGCACAAGCGGUGGAGUAUGUGGUUUAAUUCGAUGCAACGCGAAGAACCUUACCAGGGUUUGACAUCCUGCGAAUUUCUGGGAAACCGGAAAGUGCCUUCGGGAACGCAGUGACAGGUGGUGCAUGGCUGUCGUCAGCUCGUGUCGUGAGAUGUUGGUUAAGUCCCGCAACGAGCGCAACCCACGUCUUUAGUUGCCAGCAUUUAGUGGGCACUUUAAAAGAACUGCCAGUGAUAAGCUGGAGGAAGGUGGGGAUGACGUCAAGUCCUCAUGGCCCUUAUGUGUUGGGCUACACACGUGCUACAAUGGUACUUACAAUGGGAAGCAAAGAGGCGACUCU